GACGAACGCUGGCGGCGUGCUUAACACAUGCAAGUCGAACGGAAAGGCCCUGCUUUUGUGGGGUGCUCGAGUGGCGAACGGGUGAGUAACACGUGAGUAACCUGCCCUUGACUUUGGGAUAACUUCAGGAAACUGGGGCUAAUACCGGAUAGGAGCUCCUGCUGCAUGGUGGGGGUUGGAAAGUUUCGGCGGUUGGGGAUGGACUCGCGGCUUAUCAGCUUGUUGGUGGGGUAGUGGCUUACCAAGGCUUUGACGGGUAGCCGGCCUGAGAGGGUGACCGGCCACAUUGGGACUGAGAUACGGCCCAGACUCCCACGGGAGGCAGCAGUGGGGAAUAUUGCACAAUGGGCGGAAGCCUGAUGCAGCAACGCCGCGUGCGGGAUGACGACCUUCGGGUUGUAAACCGCUUUCGCCUGUGACGAAGCGUGAGUGACGGUAAUGGGUAAAGAAGCACCGGCUAACUACGUG
This 468-nucleotide ribosomal RNA is filed under the name uncultured bacterium. RNAcentral describes it as "partial 16S ribosomal RNA". It matches the Rfam family "Bacterial small subunit ribosomal RNA", at positions 28 to 507 of the family's 1533-position model. The record is from RNAcentral.